UGAGGAAUGUUGGUCAAUGGACGAGAGUCUGAACCAGCCAAGUAGCGUGAAGGAUGACUGCCCUAUGGGUUGUAAACUUCUUUUAUACGGGAAUAAAGUUCAGCACGUGUGCUGUUUUGUAUGUACCGUAUGAAUAAGGAUCGGCUAACUCCGUGCCAGCAGCCGCGGUAAUACGGAGGAUCCGAGCGUUAUCCGGAUUUACUGGGUGUAAAGGGAGCGUAGACGGAGCAGCAAGUCUGAUGUGAAAGGCAGGGGCUCAACCCUGGACUGCAUUGGAAACUGUUGAUCUUGAGUACCGGAGGGUAAGCGGAAUUCCUAGUGUAGCGGUGAAAUGCGUAGAUAUUAGGAGGAACACCAGUGGCGAAGGCGACUUACUGGACUGUAACUGACGCUGAGGCACGAAAGCGUGGGGUAGCAAACAGGAUUAGAUACC
This 433-nucleotide ribosomal RNA is filed under the name uncultured bacterium. RNAcentral's name for it is "bacterial SSU rRNA". It matches the Rfam family "Bacterial small subunit ribosomal RNA", at positions 355 to 786 of the family's 1533-position model. The record is from RNAcentral.